GUUGUAUAGUCAAGUAAUUAAGUGCAUGUGGUGGAUGCCUUGGCAGUCAGAGGCGAUGAAAGACGUGAUAGCCUGCGAAAAGCUCCGGGGAGGCGGCAAAUAUCCUUUGAUCCGGAGAUGUCUGAAUGGGGGAACCCACCUACUUUAAGGUAGGUAUUGCAACAUGAAUACAUAGUGUUGCAAGGCGAACGAGGGGAAGUGAAACAUCUCAGUACCCUUAGGAAAAGAAAUCAAUUGAGAUUCCCUCAGUAGCGGCGAGCGAACGGGGAUCAGCCCAUUAAGUUAUGUGUGUUUUAGUGGAACGCUCUGGGAAGUGCGAACGUAGAGGGUGAUAUUCCCGUACACGAAAGGGCACACAUAAUGAUGACGAGUAGGGCGAGGCACGUGAAACCUUGUCUGAAUAUGGGGGGACCAUCCUCCAAGGCUAAAUACUCCUGACUGACCGAUAGUGAACCAGUACCGUGAGGGAAAGGCGAAAAGAACCCCUGUGAGGGGAGUGAAAUAGAUCCUGAAACCGCAUGCAUACAAGCAGUGGGAGCACCUUCGUGGUGUGACUGCGUACCUUUUGUAUAAUGGGUCAGCGACUUAUAUUCAGUAGCGAGGUUAACCGUAUAGGGGAGCCGUAGAGAAAUCGAGUCUUAAUAGGGCGUUUAGUUGCUGGGUAUAGACCCGAAACCAGGCGAUCUAUCCAUGAGCAGGUUGAAGGUUGGGUAACACUAACUGGAGGACCGAACCCACUGUCGUUGAAAAGCCAGGGGAUGACUUGUGGAUAGGGGUGAAAGGCUAAUCAAGCCUGGUGAUAGCUGGUUCUCCCCGAAAGCUAUUUAGGUAGCGCCUCGGACGAAUACCAUAGGGGGUAGAGCACUGUUUCGGCUAGGGGGUCAUCCCGACUUACCAAACCGAUGCAAACUCCGAAUACCUAUGAGUACUAUCCGGGAGACAGACUGCGGGUGCUAACGUCCGUAGUCAAGAGGAAAACAAUCCAGACCGCCAGCUAAGGCCCCAAAAUCAUAGUUAAGUGGGAAACGAUGUGGGAAGGCAUAGACAGCUAGGAGGUUGGCUUAGAAGCAGCCACCCUUUAAAGAAAGCGUAAUAGCUCACUAGUCGAGUCGGCCUGCGCGGAAGAUGUAACGGGGCUAAAACUAUGUGCCGAAGCUGCGGAUNNNNNNNNNNNNNNNNNNNNNNNNNNNNNNNNNUUGACAUUAGUCAAGUGGUAGGGGAGCGUUCUGUAAGCCGAUGAAGGUGUAUUGAGAAGUAUGCUGGAGGUAUCAGAAGUGCGAAUGCUGACGUGAGUAACGACAAAACGGGUGAAAAACCCGUUCGCCGAAAGACCAAGGGUUCCAGUCCAACGUUAA
This 1355-nucleotide ribosomal RNA is filed under the name Acinetobacter baumannii. RNAcentral's name for it is "partial 23S ribosomal RNA". It matches the Rfam family "Bacterial large subunit ribosomal RNA", at positions 1 to 1368 of the family's 2925-position model. Lineage: Bacteria; Pseudomonadati; Pseudomonadota; Gammaproteobacteria; Moraxellales; Moraxellaceae. The record is from RNAcentral.